GUUGAAAUCGUCCCAGCAUCCGCCGGGAGAGCUUGGAGGAGCGAAGAAUUAAUAUAAGGAUUCAUAAAACCCCCAACAUAGCUAUGCAAAACCUAUGGUUGAGUAAUAUUUUAUCCUACAAAUUUAUUUACCUCAAUUUCCCCUAAGUUGCCGCAUCCCAUUUCACACCUUUUUUACUGCUUCAAUGAAAAUGAUCAUACAAAGAACAAACUUACUAACACAAACAACACGACAUAACAUUAUCCAGUUUUGAUACAAAGUUUUCAAAUUUUGAAGUAAAGCAUGAAACAUAUUACAACAUCAACAAGAAAACAUGUGACAACAAUUUGAGGUAAAGCAUGAAAUAUAUUACAACAUCAACAAGAAAACAUGUGACAACAAUACUUAUGUAUAACAUCAUAAACCAUAUACCUCAAAUUACUCACAAAACUGAAAUAUGCAAUCCUCCAUGAUCUUCUCACUAUCAAUGGACCCAUAAUCAUCCAAAAUCCACAAACAAAUCCAACCACUAUGCUUAUAAUCAACCCCCAAUCUGCUCCAUCCUCUUCUUUUUUCUCUCCUAUUGUAUGAGUUGCUGCUUUAACCCGUUCACAACCAUUAGUUUCAGUUAGUGGAGCUCCACAAAGUUUGUUGCCAAAGAAGCUAGACUCACUGAAGCUUUGAAGCUGUGUACUUGUUGGAAUUCUUCCUGUCAAACUGUUGAAGGACACGUUGAAGCUACUCAAGAAGUUUAACUUUGACAAGCUCAUGGGAAGUUCUCCAGAAAGCCAGUUUACCGAUAAAUCUAACGAUAUAAGUUCUUUCAUGUUUCCAAUCUUCUAUGGGAUACUUCCACUCAAUUGAUUUCUUGAUAAAUUCAACGAUUUUAGUUCCAUUAGGGACAUUAGCUCACUAGGAAUGUGUCCGGUGAGAUUGUUACUCGAAAGGUCUAUCAACAUCACUAAUGGAAGAAUACUGCUAUAUGUGUCCUCUCGUCCGAUUGUCACCAAUGAAUCACCAGCAAUAAAUAAUUCAGGUCCAAUAAUGCUAAUGCUGUAAGCAAAGUCUCUUGAAUUGCUUUCGGUGCCGGAAAGGAUACUAAAGUUGUUGAAGCAUCUGGGAAUAUUUCCAGAUAAGUUGUUAUGAGCAAGAUCUAAUAUUUUAAUAUGUCUAAUAUGACAAAGCUCAUGAGGAAUAUUUCCGGCAAAACGGUUUGAUCGAAGGUUGAGAAUUCUUAAAAGAGUAAGUUUUGUUCCAAUCCAUGUUGGAAUGCUUCCGGUAAGUUCAUUCCUUCCAAGUUCAAGAAUACCUAGAUUUGUUAAGUUCAUUAGAAAAGAAUGUAAUCUUCCAGAGAUCUUGUUCCCAUGCAUGUUCAGAUGCUAUAAAGGUAAAGAACCCAAUGUUUUUGGAAUCUCACCAGACAAACUGUUAUUCCCCAAAUUUAAGGUUUCCAACCUUGGUCAUUUCUCCUAACACUCUGGAAGGUCACCCGACAAAUGAAUAUUUUCCAAAUUAAGAAAAGAUGUGCUUGUCACACCACUAGAACACAAGAAAGGAUGUAACGAUCCCCGAAACCCAUUCGAGCUAAUGUCAAUAAACACAAGUGUGGCAGGGUUACCAGAGAACGUUAAUGGUCCUCGGAUAUGAUUAUUUGACAUAUUCAAAUACCUUAAAUUGGAGAAUGAUCUCACAAAUGAUUCGGGCAGGGGCGAUGAAAUGUCUGUGUUGCUUAUGUCUAAAUAACUUAAAUCCUUCUGUGAUUGCAACCACAACGGAAAUUGAGGCCCUAAAACCCAAUUUCUCAUAGACAAAUGUUCCAACUGAAAAGGGGGAAUCCAGUUUGCAACUUGCAGCCUUAAGAUUAGUUUGUUAGUUGAUCCUUCUAGAUCCUUCAAGCUCACUAGUUUGAUAAAGUGAGCUUCUGUCACAACACCUGUAAGCAAAUUAUGAGAAAAAUCUAAAAGAAUCAACUUUGAAAGUUGUCCGAGGCUAUCAGGAAGGCUGCCAUCCAGUCGAUUAUAACUAAUACCCAAGGCCUCCAAUGAUGAUAAUUUUCCAAUUGAGUAUGGAAUGGGACCAGAAAUUUGAUUAUCAGUAAGAUAUAAUGUUCUAAGAAAUGACAAGUUUCCUAUGGAAUGAGGAAUUAUACCAGUUAUAUGGUUCCCGAUCAAGGAUAAUGACUCCAAGGCAGGUGAUUUGCACUCGAAAAAACUUUCAAGAAAAUAUGUCAGACUAAUAUUACCAAUAUUGUUAAAAGACAAAUCAAUCUCUCUCAAAUUACAAAAGUUACCCAAUGAUUUAGGUAUUCUCUUAGUGAGUUGAUCGUCAGACAAGUCGAGGCUAAUAAGAUUUGUUAGAUUUUGAAGGGAAUCUAGAACUGAACUUGAAAUACCACAACCUCCAAUAUCUAAUGAGAUGAGAUUACUACUGGACAACUCUUGAAAUAUUGAGGAAGAAUUCAUGAAAUCAUUGUCGGCAACAUGAAGCAACUCAAGAGAAGUCAGAUUGCGGAACCCAGGAAUAGGAGCAUGAAAAAAACCACCGAGUUAAAUCCAGUGAAACUAGACUAGUUACACUGAAUAUCCACUGUGGCACUGAACUGUUAAAAUAAUUGUAAGAAAGAUCGAGAAUAGAAAGGGAUGUGAGAUUGACACUAGGAACAUACAUGUGUAGAUUUGAGAGUUCACAUCCAGACAAAUGUAGCUGGACCAAAGAAGGAAGGGUGUUAAUCACCUGAAGCCAAUCGGUUGCUUUGCUAAGGUCCACUGUUACGCCCAAAAUUUCAUCUUCCUAAAUGUGAUAUUAUCAUACUAUAAUUUAACAAAAAUUGGGCAUGACCCGUCCAUAAAACGAGCAUACCCCUGUUUUAAACAUAAUCAAACUAGUUAUAAUUCUACGAUUCAUUCGACAAAAUACUACUAAGAACCAAUACAACAAAUUUUGGACUAAAAACAUUUGAACAAGCUAGCGGAAGCGUUUGGUAUGACAUAACAUGAACACGCGCUCGCUCCGAUUCUCCAAGUCGCCUGAAUUGAGGGUUUACCUACAUUCAACAACAAAGCUUUAAAAAGUUAGUCGCUAUACUUGUUUGCUUAUAAAACCGUCAUUUUAAUUCCAUUCAUGUACAUACUCUCAUUUCUCUUACGCAUUCGAUUUCCCAAUUAAAUGGGUAUCACAUAUAUUCUCAUACAACUAACCUGUUAGUAGGUGGUGACGACCAAACAUAAAAUAUUGUAUAAACUAAAACGUCCAUAGUAUAUUCUAACCACUUAAGUUACUUCAACCCGAAUAUCUUCCAACACUCAAUCAUUUCAUUACUAUAUCGACACUUCGAAAGUCCGAUAUUCAUAAACCUGCACUUUCAACAUACUCGAUAAUAAUUUGGUUAGCAAACCUGUAAUCUCCACAUAUUCAAGUACUACAUUUUCAUAAAAAGGUCGCCAACCAUUUAUACAUCAAUUUAACUACAACACUAUGUACGCCUUUCGCAUAAUUAUGUACAUACAUAUAUUUAUAUAUAUUUUCUAUACACAUCACGCAUACUUGUUUAUACGACUUAAACUCACCAUAACUCCAAUUAUUCAUAAUUACAUACCAUCCUAUUCACUUAAUUUAAAUUAACACACCUCCCUACUCAUACAUAUGACCGUCCGAUAAUAGACUUACUUAUAAACAAGUUCCAUCCGUUACAUGCUUACAUAAUCAUGUCUACACAUAUUUACUUACAUCCAAUUCUUGAUUAACCUACUCGCAUUCGAUCAUCAUACUCAUAUAUUAAUUAUAUGGUGCUUAGACUUGAGUUUAUAACCCAAAAAUAUUAGUUAAGAGGAGUUUAUAACGUAUCUAUUUAUGCCCGAAGGUCAAAAAUAACAAAACAAUCAACUUUUUUGGAAAACUGCCGCCGUAAGCUACGGCUCAGCCGUAGCUUACGAUUCAGUUGUUUGGUCCAAACAGAAGCUAUGUUCUGUAGCCUACGACUGAACUGUAGCUUACGAUUUGGCUGCUCUGCAGCUUAUCCAACUUUGUCCGUUUACGCUAAAACUUGAGUAACUUUCACACCGUUUACCCGUUUAACCUCCCGUUUCUUCCUACAUGAUUGUAAAUUAACCUUCUAUCAUGUGAACUUGAAAUCCAACAUCCGAGUUAAGGAAUUUCUUAACUUAUACGUAUUCGGCUUGUUAUCCAUCUAUGAAUUAUUCGAUCCAUUCGUGCAUUUAUCAAAAUAGUCUAUCGAUUUGACCUCAACUUCAUAUGAACUUAAUAAUUAAAACAUUAUAUUACUUAAACAACUAAAUAAGUGAUUAUAGAGAUCACUUACCUUAUGCAUCCCUAUUCGCUAUCGUUUCCUCAUGUCCUCAUGGCCCGUUAGUCCUUUAUGCUUCCAUCCAUCUCGACAUGAUCCCUAUACUUUUAUUUCGUUGCAUCCAAAUUCUUGUUAGCAUACAAAAUUAUACAUAUGAACGAUCAUAUCAAUUUACAUUUCACAUUCGGCUUCAUUAACAUUUCAACUAGCAUAUGGUACUACCUUAUAAUGCAUGUUUCUUACUAAAUCAUUUCAUCAAACUAACAACAUCAUUCAAGUUGAACUAAUUUAGUACUAUUCUUGAACCCAACAUUAUCCUUACUAGAAAAUCCACAUAUCAUACAAUGACACCACUUUAACCCCUCGAUCACAACUACAUAAUCAACUAAAUGCAUUAGGAGUGCCAUAUCUUUAUGCAUAGAGUACAAGUUCAUCAUACUAACAAUCAACUUUUUCCACAUGAUUUCUAUUCUAAAUACACAUUUCAUGUUAGUUUGAUAACAAAUAUAUUAUUAUUUCCCUCUAUACUUAUUUACCCACAAUUUGCAUACUAUUUUUACAUAUUGUUGUCAUUUAGACAUUUCAUCAAACACUUGGUGUGCAUACACCAUUUAAUGCACAAUGUACAACUAUUUCAUGCUUAAUCUUCAAAGUUCUUACUUCCAACCACCAACACCGGAAAAAAUCGCAAAACAAAAUAAAUAAAAAAAUGGAAAGUAACACCGGGCGAAACGUAGACGUAAAAUCAUUGAACCACACACGCAAAAAAUUA
This 5054-nucleotide long non-coding RNA is filed under the name Helianthus annuus (common sunflower). RNAcentral describes it as "hypothetical non coding rna". The record is from RNAcentral. Lineage: Eukaryota; Viridiplantae; Streptophyta; Magnoliopsida; Asterales; Asteraceae.